AGCCAGACUCCUACGGGAGGCAGCAGUGAGGAAUAUUGGUCAAUGGGCGGGAGCCUGAACCAGCCAAGUCGCGUGAGGGAAGACGGUCCUAUGGAUUGUAAACCUCUUUAGGCGGGGAGCAAUGCCGGGCACGCGUGCCCGGAGGGAGAGUACCCGCAGAAUAAGCAUCGGCUAACUACGUGCCAGCAGCCGCGGUAAUGCGUAGGUGGCAAGCGUUAUCCGGAUUUACUGGGUGUAAAGGGCGUGUAGGCGGGACUGCAAGUCAGAUGUGAAAACCAUGGGCUCAACCCAUGGCCUGCAUUUGAAACUGUAGUUCUUGAGUGUUGGAGAGGCAGGCGGAAUUCCGUGUGUAGCGGUGAAAUGCGUAGAUAUACGGAGGAACACCAGUGGCGAAGGCGGCCUGCUGGACAAUAACUGACGCUGAGGCGCGAAAGCGUGGGGAGCAAACAGGAUUAGAUACCCUAGUACA
This 469-nucleotide ribosomal RNA is filed under the name uncultured bacterium. RNAcentral's name for it is "bacterial SSU rRNA". It matches the Rfam family "Bacterial small subunit ribosomal RNA", at positions 329 to 794 of the family's 1533-position model. The record is from RNAcentral.